GAGAUGUGGGUAGUCCGUACGAGCGCACCUUGUCCUUAUUUGCCAGCACGUAAUGGUGGGAACUCUAAGGAGACUGCCGGUGACAAACCGGAGGAAGGUGGGGACGACGUCAAGUCAUCAUGGCCCUUAUGACCAGGGCUACACACGUGCUACAAUGGAGCGUACAGAGGGUUGCUAAGCCGCGAGGUGGAGCCAAUCCCAGAAAACGUUUCGUAGUCCGGAUCGAAGUCUGCAACUCGACUUCGUGAAGUCGGAAUCGCUAGUAAUCGCGAAUCAGCAUGUCGCGGUGAAUACGUUCCCGGGCCUUGUACACACCGCCCGUCACACCAUGGGAGUGGGUUGCAAAAGAAGUGGCUAGUCUAACCUUCGGGAGGACGGUCACCACUUUGUGAUUCAUGACUGGGGUGAAGUCGUAACAAGGUAGCCCUAGGGGAACCUGGGGCUGGAUCACCUCCUU
Molecule: ribosomal RNA, 457 nt
Filed under: uncultured Gammaproteobacteria bacterium
Lineage: Bacteria; Pseudomonadati; Pseudomonadota; Gammaproteobacteria
Description: bacterial SSU rRNA
Rfam family: Bacterial small subunit ribosomal RNA
Source: RNAcentral